AGAGUUUGAUCAUGGCUCAGAACGAACGCUGGCGGCGUGCCUAACACAUGCAAGUCCGACGUGAAAGGGGAGCAAUCCCCCGGUAGGGUGGCAAACGGGUGAGUAAGACAUGGGUGAUCUGCCCUGGAGAUGGGGAUAUCCCUCCGAAAGGGGGGGCAAUACCGAAUAGUAUCCGGUUCCGUGAAGGGGGCCGGGGAAAGGGAGGCCUCUGGUACAAGCUUCCGCUCCUGGAUGAGCCCAUGGCCCAUCAGCUAGUUGGUAGGGUAAAGGCCAACCAAGGCGACGACGGGUAGCUGGUCUGAGAGGACAACCAGCCACACUGGCACUGAGACACGGGCCAGACUCCUACGGGAGGCAGCAGUGAGGAAUAUUGCGCAAUGGGGGCAACCCUGACGCAGCAACGCCGCGUGUGGGAAGAAGGCUUUCGGGUUGUAAACCACUUUUGCCCGGGACGAAAGGGGGGGCCUGAAUAAGGUCACCCGAUGACGGUACCGGGAGAAUAAGCCACGGCUAACUCUGUGCCAGCAGCCGCGGUAAGACAGAGGUGGCAAGCGUUGUUCGGAGUUACUGGGCGUAAAGAGUCUGUAGGUGGUCUGUCAAGUCUUUGGUGAAAGGCCGUGGCUUAACCAUGGGAAUGCCAAAGAGACUGGCAGACUGGAGGCUGGGAGAGGGAAGCGGAAUUUCUGGUGUAGCGGUGAAAUGCGUAGAUAUCAGAAGGAAGGCCGGUGGCGAAGGCGGCUUCCUGGAACAGACCUGACACUGAUAGACGAAAGCGUGGGGAGCAAACAGGAUUAGAUACCCUGGUAGUCCACGCCCUAAACGAUGGGUACUAAGUGUGGGAGGGUUAUACCUCCCGUG
Molecule: ribosomal RNA, 858 nt
Filed under: uncultured bacterium
Lineage: Bacteria
Description: bacterial SSU rRNA
Rfam family: Bacterial small subunit ribosomal RNA
Source: RNAcentral